CCGGACCCGCUUGUGGAGUUCAUGUGUUUCUGUCCCUCUAGUGGAGAUCCUCCUGAUGGAGCCUGCAGCCAGACCCUUCUCCAGCGAAUGACUGAAUGCAGAACGGACACCUCAUCUCUCAGCACUCGCAGCCCCGGACCCGUGCCCCUCGUAAUGGCAGCCAGCCCAAACUGACCCUCCAGCUGAAGGCAAAGAGAAGGAGGGAAUCUGUCCCAAGCAUCGGGAGGAUAAGCAGACGCCGCGCUGCACCCGAGCCGCACAGGCUGUAUAAAAGCAGACCGCUCCUCUAGGUGAACGUCAGCCUACAAUUUAGCCAUUCUUAUCGGGAGCAGCGCACGGCGUACGGCCAAAGAUGGCCGUCUAAGAGGAAGGGGACGCUGGGUAACAUUCAGUCUCACCUGGUUCUGCACUUGGGGGCACUUUGCCAUCUCUCCGAGCAGUCAUCGCUUGUAAGACCCCAAAAAUAUCAACUCAUAUUUAUGUGCAGUACCAAAGAAAAAUCCAUCUGACCUCUCUCUGUUCAUACAGCUAUUUUAUGACUACAGGAUGAAUGGAUGGAUGCUGCAUUACUUUGUAGCUCAGAGUUACCAUAUAUUUAGACUGAGCAUCCUGAGUAUGCAAAUACAAAAUACAUUCACAGGUUCACCCAUACAUUCAUAUACACUGUAAGAUAAUAAAUAAUAAAAUAAAUAAAUUGUUAUGCUGUGUUAUUUGAAAGCUUACUAAAUCUACUGUGCAAGGCAGUACAUGUAAUAUUAAUUGGCAAUUAGGAAAAUGAUCCUGUUCAUAUAAUGCAUGUCGUGAUACACAAGAAUUACAAUAUUUGUGAUUAAAUAUUAACGCAUA
This is a long non-coding RNA of Paramormyrops kingsleyae, 846 nucleotides long. RefSeq lists it as uncharacterized. The record is from RefSeq and is a predicted model, not a curated record. Lineage: Eukaryota; Metazoa; Chordata; Actinopteri; Osteoglossiformes; Mormyridae.